UCGAGCGAGGUUACUGCGACAGAUCCCUUCGGGGUGAAGUUGCUUUAGCCUAGCGGCGGACGGGUGAGUAACGCGUGGGUAACCUACCCUAAAGUUCGGGAUAACAGCGGGAAACCGCUGCUAAUACCGGAUGCCUUUACCGUGUGGCAUCACAAGGUAAAGAAAGGUAACGCUUUAGGAUGGGCCCGCGUCCCAUUAGCUAGUUGGUGAGGUAACAGCUCACCAAGGCGACGAUGGGUAGCCGGCCUGAGAGGGUGGACGGCCACACUGGGACUGAGACACGGCCCAGACUCCUACGGGAGGCAGCAGUAGGGAAUAUUGCGCAAUGGACGGAAGUCUGACGCAGCGACGCCGCGUGAGCGAUGAAGGCCUUCGGGUCGUAAAGCUCUGUCCUUGGGGAAGAAGGUCUUCGGACUUGACGGUACCCA
This 428-nucleotide ribosomal RNA is filed under the name uncultured bacterium. RNAcentral's name for it is "bacterial SSU rRNA". It matches the Rfam family "Bacterial small subunit ribosomal RNA", at positions 62 to 481 of the family's 1533-position model. The record is from RNAcentral.